UGCCAGACUCCUACGGGAGGCAGCAGUGGGGAAUAUUGCGCAAUGGGCGAAAGCCUGACGCAGCGACGCCGCGUGAGGGAUGAAGGUCUUCGGAUCGUAAACCUCUGUCAGCAGGGAAGAACGGUCACUGUGCUAAUCAGCAGUGAAUUGACGGUACCUGCAAAGGAAGCACCGGCUAACUCCGUGCCAGCAGCCGCGGUAAUACGUAGGGGGCAAGCGUUAUCCGGAUUUACUGGGUGUAAAGGGAGCGUAGACGGCAGUGCAAGUCCGGAGUGAAAGCCCGGGGCUCAACCCUGGGACUGCUCUGGAACUGCGUGGCUGGAGUGCAGGAGGGGCAGGCGGAAUUCCUGGUGUAGCGGUGAAAUGCGUAGAUAUCAGGAGGAACACCGGUGGCGAAGGCGGCCUGCUGGACUGCAACUGACGUUGAGGCCCGAAAGCGUGGGGAGCAAACAGGAUUAGAUACCCGAGUAUC
This 472-nucleotide ribosomal RNA is filed under the name uncultured bacterium. RNAcentral's name for it is "partial 16S ribosomal RNA". It matches the Rfam family "Bacterial small subunit ribosomal RNA", at positions 329 to 794 of the family's 1533-position model. The record is from RNAcentral.